This is an RNA transcript of Sander lucioperca (pikeperch), 2532 nucleotides long. It is a transcript of the gene named WD repeat and SOCS box containing 1, with no coding region annotated. The record is from RefSeq and is a predicted model, not a curated record. The transcript has 10 exons. NCBI's taxonomy places the organism in Eukaryota, Metazoa, Chordata, Actinopteri, Perciformes, Percidae.
AAUAGCUUACCAUCCCACCAGUAGAAGCCAUUGUACUUACGGGGAUCGUACUGAAAUCAACAGAAGCGAAAGCUCAAUUACGUGUUAAACUGUUUUUUUUUAAUCUGAGUGUUAACACAGCAUUUAAGCAGCAUUAUAGAUUUGAACAGUGAAAAUAAAGCGUGUUGUCGCGGAAGGAAAACAAGACCUUUGCACAGCCCGAACGACGACUGUAUUUUUCACCAGGGACGUUAACGUUACGUUUGGCGGAGGAAUUCAACGGACGUUGGUAGACGGCGGAAGAGGAAAAGCCGCCGCCGAAUUCCGUACAAAUUUCAUAUUUCCUCUAGAUAUCUUUGUUUUACAGUCCGUGCUUGGCUUUUCUCUUAGGUCUGUGCCCUUAUUUAGAUGGCAAGCUUCCCAGACUCUAUAAACCAAAAUGAUAUAGGUAAGGCAAAGUUCAUCGGUGAACUCGUGGUGCCUGUUGCUCCCUUCGACCAGAAGUGUGGGCGCGAGGCUUGGACAGUAGCUUUUGCACCCAAUGGUUCCUACUUUGCUUGGUCUCAGGGGCAUCGCAUUGUCAGGCUCAUUCCCUUGGCAAAAUGUCUGAAGAGCUUUUCUGUGGGCAAAGCUGGAGAGUCCACCAAUGCCUCGAGCCCGGGUUGUUUGUCUCGUCAGAACAGCGGCGGAGGCCAGGUAAUCCCGGCUGCCGACGAGCCCCGCGAACACACCAUCGACUGCGGUGACACCGUCUGGGGCCUGGCCUUUGGCUCCUCGGUGCCGGAGAAGCAGAGCCGCUGUGUUAACAUCGAGUGGCACCGCUUCAGGUUCGGUCAGGACCAGCUGCUUCUGGCAACAGGCCUCAACAAUGGUCGCAUCAAGAUCUGGGAUGUUUACACUGGAAAACUGUUGCUGAAUCUGAUGGACCAUACUGAUGUGGUGCGAGACUUGACCUUUGCUCCUGAUGGCAGUCUUGUGCUGGUCUCUGCAUCCAGAGAUAAGACCCUCCGUGUGUGGGACCUUAAAGAUGAUGGUAACAUGGUGAAGGUUCUGCGGGGGCAUCAGAACUGGGUGUACUGCAGCGCCUUCUCCCCUGACUCGUCCAUCCUGUGCUCAGUCGGCGCAGGCAAAGCAGUGUUCCUAUGGAACAUGGAUAAGUACACCGUGAUGGGAAAGCUGGAGGGGCACCACAAUGAUGUGGUGUCUUGUGAGUUUUCACCGGAUGGGGCGCUAUUGGCCACCGCCUCUUAUGACACCCGGGUCAUCGUGUGGGACCACCACAAGGGCACCGUACUGCUGGAGCUGGGCCAUCUCUUCCCUGCUCCAUCACCCAUUUUUGCUGGAGGGGCAAAUGACCGCUGGGUUCGCUCUGUGAGCUUCUGCCCUGACGGCCGCCACAUUGCCAGCGUCACUGAUGACAGGCUGGUUCGUUUCUGGAGCAUCGAGGAAAGGGCUCCUCAGGCCAUCGCCUCUCUGUCCAAUGGCCUCUGCUGUGCCUUUUCCGCUGAAGGGAGUGUCCUUGCUGCUGGGACUCGUGACGGUGCUGUGCGCUUCUGGGAGUGUCCUCGCAGCGUUGGCAGUCUGCAGCACAUGAGCAGGAUGUCUCUCCGCCGGGUGAUGAGCACUCAGCAGGUGGAGGCCCUGGCCAUCCCCACGCCGCUCCGCGACUACCUGACCUACAAAGUCAUCUAACCCCACAGCACUAACUGUUCCUAUCAAAGCAUCAUCUGGCUAAAAAAAAAACCAAUGAAUUAUUUUCUGAAAAAUAAAACUGUUUUACACAGAACUUUGUUGAACAAACAAAAUCAACCAGGAAAGGAGGAACAGAGCCACCUGGGCUCAAACCCCCACCACCUCCUCUCACAGCAGGAUAUUCUGUUGCUUUUGUAAAUAUUUAUUUUUGUAAGUACUUUAGUGAAUGAGCGCGACGUACACCUUUUAAGGCCAGGUUAUUUUGGGGGCCUCCCGUCCCCUCCAUCACAUCGGUGUGGAACCUGUAAGUGUUCAGGCCUCUUCCAGCUGGCUCCAGCUCUCCACCAGGUUCAGUAAACCCUUCAUCUUUUCUUCUGGCUUGAAAUGGCUGUUGCACUUAAUGUGAGAAGCUUUGGCAGCGUUGCUUGCUCUUAACGUCAGGGUUUCUGUUUGGAAGUGGUUGAAAAACGAGAUGAAGCCGUUAUUGUUCUCUCUUAGGUUUGAACAUUUCUCAGUAUUCACACCAUCAUGGCACACUCGCAGUAGUUUUUUAUUUCCUAUACAGAGACAACAUUUGCCGUUCAGUGAUCCAACACAGUAUGUUAGCUAGUUUGAAUUUAAUUGCUGCUGUUUGGUCGCACCAUAAUCAGGCACAGUGAGAAUGCUCAAUUUGAAGCAGCACCAGAAGCUAGCUAUCAAACUAGCUACUUCAGUCCUGAGCCAGAGUGAGAAAUGGUUCAGGCAGAUAAUUUGGCACAUAUUGGGUCAUUGCAGAUAUAUUGGCAUUGCUGUAUAUGUCAGCUGGUAAAUGACAAGAAAUUUAAGUACAGAAAUGGCAAAGAUAUUUUUUGGGAAACUGUU